RNAcentral lists this ribosomal RNA (478 nucleotides) under uncultured bacterium. Its description in RNAcentral is "partial 16S ribosomal RNA". It matches the Rfam family "Bacterial small subunit ribosomal RNA", at positions 28 to 507 of the family's 1533-position model. The record is from RNAcentral.
GAUGAACGCUGGCGGCGUGCCUAACACAUGCGAGUCGAACGGAGUCCAGCCUUUAAGACCUUCGGGUCAAAGAGGGGAAGACUGAGUGGCGGACGGGUGAGUAACACGUGGGCAACCUGGCUCAUAGAGGGGGAUAACAGAGAGAAAUUUCUGCUAAUACCGCAUAAGCACACACUGCCGCAUGGCAGAGGGUGAAAAGAGAAUCGCUAUGAGAUGGACCCGCGUCUGAUUAGCCAGUUGGCAGGGUAAGAGCCUACCAAAGCGACGAUCAGUAGCCGAUCUGAGAGGAUGAACGGCCACAUUGGGACUGAGACACGGCCCAAACUCCUACGGGAGGCAGCAGUGGGGGAUAUUGCACAAUGGGGGGAACCCUGAUGCAGCGACGCCGCGUGAGUGAAGAAGUAUUUCGGGAUGUAAAGCUCUAUCAGCAGGGAAGAUAAUGACAGUACCUGAAGAAGAAGCCCCGGCUAACUACGUG